RNAcentral lists this ribosomal RNA (360 nucleotides) under uncultured rumen bacterium. RNAcentral describes it as "bacterial SSU rRNA". It matches the Rfam family "Bacterial small subunit ribosomal RNA", at positions 19 to 363 of the family's 1533-position model. The record is from RNAcentral.
UUGGCUCAGGAUGAACGCUGGCGGCGUGCUUAACACAUGCAAGUCGAACGAGGAACAGAAGACGAGGUCUUCGGAUUAAAUUGACUGUUCCGAGUGGCGGACGGGUGAGUAACGCGUGGGGAACCUGCCUUAUACUGAGGGACAACAGCUGGAAACGGCUGCUAAUACCUCAUAUGCGCACAGGAAGGCAUCUUCCGGUGUGGAAAGAAAUUCGGUAUAAGAUGGCCCCGCGUCUGAUUAGGCAGUUGGUGAGAUAACAGCCCACCAAACCGACGAUCAGUAGCCGACCUGAGAGGGCGAACGGCCACAUUGGGACUGAGACACGGCCCAGACUCCUACGGGAGGCAGCAGUGGGGAAUA